RNAcentral lists this ribosomal RNA (469 nucleotides) under uncultured bacterium. RNAcentral describes it as "bacterial SSU rRNA". It matches the Rfam family "Bacterial small subunit ribosomal RNA", at positions 34 to 498 of the family's 1533-position model. The record is from RNAcentral.
CGCUGGCGGCAGGCCUAACACAUGCAAGUCGAGCGGAUGAAGAGAGCUUGCUCUCUGAUUCAGCGGCGGACGGGUGAGUAAUGCCUAGGAAUCUGCCUGGUAGUGGGGGACAACGUCUCGAAAGGGACGCUAAUACCGCAUACGUCCUACGGGAGAAAGCAGGGGACCUUCGGGCCUUGCGCUAUCAGAUGAGCCUAGGUCGGAUUAGCUAGUUGGUGAGGUAAUGGCUCACCAAGGCGACGAUCCGUAACUGGUCUGAGAGGAUGAUCAGUCACACUGGAACUGAGACACGGUCCAGACUCCUACGGGAGGCAGCAGUGGGGAAUAUUGGACAAUGGGCGAAAGCCUGAUCCAGCCAUGCCGCGUGUGUGAAGAAGGUCUUCGGAUUGUAAAGCACUUUAAGUUGGGAGGAAGGGCAGUAAAUUAAUACUUUGCUGUUUUGACGUUACCGACAGAAUAAGCACCGGCU